Molecule: long non-coding RNA, 593 nt
Organism: Saccostrea cuccullata (small rock oyster)
Lineage: Eukaryota; Metazoa; Mollusca; Bivalvia; Ostreida; Ostreidae
Exons: 3
Source: RefSeq, a predicted model, not a curated record
CUCACUCAUAAAACUUCAGAAUAUGACUUGUACUAAAUCUUGGCUUUGAUGGAAACCAAGAAACAUCAGCGAUUGAAGUGUACUUGCCAGCAGUAUCCCUUUUCAAGAUUAAAGAUAUUGGAUAUAAUGAGCAUGGCCCAAGAGAGAAGUGGACAUUGUUGAUGCAGUCAAGUCACAUUCUGAAUAGGUAGUGUAAGUGGUACCAGUUGUUAAUGUCCCUGGUUUUGUUUAUGCUGUAAACAAACCCAGUGGAUUAAACAACUGUUUUGAGCCACUCACUCAUAAAACUUCAGAAUAUGACUUGUACUAAAUCUUGGCUUUGAUGGAAACCAAGAAACAUCAGCGAUUGAAGUGUACUUGCCAGCAGUAUCCCUUUUCAAGAUUAAAGAUAUUGAAUAUAAUGAGCAUGGCCCAAGAGAGAAGUGGACAUUGUUGAUGCAGUCAAGUCACAUUCUGAAUAGGUAGUGUAAGUGGUACCAGUUGUUAAUGUCCCUGGUUUUGUUUAUGCUGUAAACAAACCCAGUGGAUUAAAAAACUGUUUUGAGCCACUCACUCAUAAAACUUCAGAAUAUGACUUGUACUAAAUCUUGGCU